Long non-coding RNA from Homo sapiens (human), 4012 nucleotides. RefSeq lists it as uncharacterized. Lineage: Eukaryota; Metazoa; Chordata; Mammalia; Primates; Hominidae. The transcript has 6 exons. The record is from RefSeq and is a predicted model, not a curated record.
UUAAAAUAAAUAAAGCAUUUAGCAUUUAGAUUACUAUGUGAUGGGUCAACUUAGAGUUUUAUAUUCGCUGUGUUCUGAUUAUUCAUUAAGAUAGAAUGGCUGUGACAAUUAGUUUGUUCACCCCAUACAAUUGUACUACUGUUCUUAAGGCCCUUACAUGGUGGAUCAGGCAGUAAAGACAAGCAGUAUCUGUUGCUUCCAUAACAUUUCCAUGUAGCCAACUUUGCUAAUUGCAUGAAACAAAUUUACAUGGUUAGGCUAUUUCUCAUAAAUGCUCAACGUAUACUUGUCCCUCAGCUGUCCUCUUACACUGAUAGUGUCUUACUCUAAAGAUUCUAAAAUAUCCCCAAACAAUCUGCUUAAUAACUACAAGGAGGUUGUUGAAACUUACAGACAACUUCUAGGUUUACACCAGCAGCUGAAUACAUUUAUUGCAUGUCCAGCUUAAGGAAGCAUUUAUAAAUUGAAAUCUUUAAUGAGUUUCCUAACUUAGGCGGGAGAAGAAGAUGCAAUCAAGAUGUAUUUUUCCUGUGAAAAGUAGGAGAUAGUUGAACAGUAUUAGAAGUUGAACAGCUGGUCACUGUUUAUGAAAACAGCUAGGCUCUUAUCCAUAAGACAGGAAAGAGAGUCAAAAGCCAAAGUCUCCUUUUAAGAUACAGCUGGAAAGUUUUCAGAGUUCAAGGAAAAUUUUAAACCUAGGGUAGAUAUGCCUUUUUUUCCCUCUUGUAGUAAUAGUAAAAAGAAGAGUAAACCAAAAAAUCUCAAGAGUAAAAAUACCUUUAUCAAUUCAACAAUUGAUAUUCUACCAAACACAUAUAUUACUUUUGGGAAAAAAAAUUGCAAACUUUUACCGCAAGUAAGAACAGGUCAGUGAUGCAGACACUUUAUAAAAAUAAGAGGAAAAUGCAUUAAAUGUAAAGUGGAUAAAAAAGUAUAAAACAAGAAAUAUAGCUAAGCAUGACUUUCAAUUUCUCUUAUGGUCUCCUUAAUGACUGAAAAUAAAUUAGAAACUUUAGCAGGAAGUACUUUUUUCAAGGUAGAAUGAACAGCUUUCUAGAUCAGCUAUCUGUUAUCUAGUAGAUUCACUGAGUUUUAUGGCCAAAGGGACUUAGAAAAGGAGCUCUGGAUAGAAAAAUUAGGAGGAAGUAGAUUGAAUGAUUUAUUUCUAUAUUAUUUUAUUGAUAAGUUUAAUCGUGAUUCUUUCUGUGGCAAACAUUUGUCCACUGUCAGAGAAGGAUUAACCUAUGUAAAACAGUUGAAAUCAGAUUUAGAGGCCAUUUUGAGUAAGUAAGAAAAAAAAAUAAGGAAUUAAAUACAACAUCAUCCUACAAAUAAACUUCACUCCACUAGGCAGUUGUAUUCUGGAAGUAUCAUAUUACUGUAUUUUAACAGGUGACGUGAGACUUGCAAAAAAAUACCUGGUCCCCCAACAGAUAAAUAUGAAUUUGUUCAGAGCUAUGUCCAUACAUAAUAACUGGAAGUGCUCCAUUGGAUUCUUUUAUUUUUCUUUAGGUUGCUACUAAGUUCUGAUAAAACAAUUGAUUAUUAUUUUGGACAAGGGAAUUUAAAUUAUGCAUGGAAACAUAAAUAUAUGUAAGUUUUACAGAGAAGAUAAUACUAUGAAUUUAGUGCGUUUGAAUUCAAAAGAAAAGAUAUCAAAUUAAAACGCAGCAUGAGUUAAACCAUGGUUUUAAAAGCUUGCACACACAUCUAGGUUUUCAAAUAAAUCAGAUUAAAUUAGCUGUUAUUUUAUUCUCUUCUUUAGCUGCUUUUGAAAUAUGUGGCAGGAUUCGUCAUUUGACUUAAAAAAUGAAUGUAGUUGCUUAUUUCCUUUUCAGCUUUUUUUCAUUACUGUAAAAACAAAGUUUUAGCAGUCCAUGUCUGCUCUCAUUUCAUCAAGAACCAGUAAAAAUUAAAUUUAAAAAACACUUUGAGAGCUUGCCCUAAAGUUAGCAGCAAUAAAGCAUAUGCUGGUCUGCAUAUAGUUUUAGUUUUCAUUCCCUUCAAACUUUUGUACUCUUCUCAAAGCUUUGACUGCUAUUUUCUUUCCAUGAUUAGAUUGUUAUGGCCACACCAUCUACCUGAAGAGAAUUAUGAUACUGGUUUGGAACAAAACUCUCCUUUUUUUGGAAAGUGCAGUUUUGACUUACAGUCUUCUUUGUCUGAUGAUCAGAAUUUAUGGAGGCCUGAAGUUCCUGGCUCUCUCCGACAUAACUUGCAUUAUUUGAUCUAACCACAGUACCCCAAAGCUGAAAAAAAAUCAGUCAGGUAGAAUUCACGUGUAUUUUUUCCUUCAAUGAAAUUCAUUGUAGAGUAGCAUAUGUUUAAGGGAAUGUGUGAGUUUUAUUGCAGGUCAGAAAGGCUACACUACUAAUCCGUGAUUCACAAAGAAAACAGAGCACAGAAAGACCAGUGCAAGACUGCUGGGUUGGAGGUUGGAAGGUUCUAGUAUGUAAACCAUAUUCCAGUCUGAUAUGUGUGCAACAAUAGGGUAAUGAAAAUGAAAAUACUCCAUGUGGCUAAAAGACAGUCUUCUUUUUAGAGACCUUAGUGUUUUAUUUAGAGGUUAUUGGUCAGAUUCAAGCAAGGCCAGAAUGAUUCUAAGUAAAGGUGCUUUGUGAAGUGCAUAAACCAUUUGUGAACUCAAGGGGAAUAUUAAAUAAAUUUCAUUUGCCAAGAAGUUAAUCAGUCAACCACAGAUCCUUAUGCAAUGCAAUUUAUUGAACACCUGCCAUAUUAGAAGAGCUAUAGCCAGCCAGGUGGUAAACGGAAAUGGCAACACUGCCCUCAAGGUGCUUAUAAUCAGAAAAAAGUAAAAAGGAUGGAAACUAAAAUUUACAAAGGCCUCCAAUUUUACAGUAUUUUACAUGCACUUACAAAGGAUGCUUGAAGCAUAAGUUACAUGCAACACAGUCACCACCAACCAAAAAACAGAUACAUAAAUAUAUACAUGAUCAGUCAUAGGCAUUUGUGUGUGCACAUGAGCGAGUGUGUGAACAUGGAGAAGUGAGGCACUUGCCUUUAGUUGGACUAGUUUUAGAAAGUAGUUGAACUUGAAACAAAUUUCUGAAGAAUUGGUAGGAAACAAGGAAGACACUUUGUAAUUAGAAGACAGAAUUCUGAAUGAUGUGUUUGGAAAAUAAGUGCUCUGUCAAAUUGUAGUAAUCAAGUAAUUAACUGUUGGCUUCCCAAUUCAAAGUAUCAACUUGAUUUUAAAAUAAUUGGGAAUAGUUAGAAGGAUUUGAGCAGGGAAGUGAUGCAAAUAAUUUGCUUGAGGAAGUCUCUUCUGUCUUAUUUGUAGGACAAAUGAGUUAAAAGAAGCAGGCCAGUCUCACAGCUUGAAGUUUUCCAUAUGAAUGCAAAAAUCAGUUUGUCUGAUGAUAACAUUUACUUACUGCUUCACUGACAUAAGAACCAGCCCUCGAGAAGAAUAUACAGAGGAGUAGUUGCCAGCAACCUUCCUGCCAACUUGGCCCAAGGUAGGUUACUUUAGGUACACUAGAAAACCAAUUUCUCUGCAGUUUUUCAUCCUUAUCAAACUCACCUAAAGUCUAAAGAAAAACUCUUUCUGAUUAUAGAUAUUUGUUUCAAUCAGUUUUAUAGGAACGGCAGUCUCUGCUCAUCUCUCCUUCCUGAAAUUCUAGAACUCUUUAAACACAAUUGCCACAAAAUUGCCAUGGAAGGAAACCUUUCAUCACUUUUUAAAUUAUUGUCUCCAUUUUUCAAUUCUUUGGAUGUUAAAAAUUGGGAUAUAAUUUGCAUACCAUGAUAUUCACUGUUUUAAAGUGUACAUGUCAGUGGUUUUUAGCUUUUAUUCACAGAGUUGUGCAACCAUUAUCAUUAUCUCAUUCCAGAACAUGUUCGUCACCCAGAAAAGAAACCCCAUACCCGUUAGCCAUCACUUCCCAUUCUUCCCUCUUUCUAGCUCCUGGCAACUCCUAAUCUAUUUUCUGUCUUUAUGGAUAUGCCUAUUCUGGACAUUUCAUAUAAUUGGAAAUAAAAUGUGUGGCCA